Molecule: ribosomal RNA, 1504 nt
Filed under: Klebsiella pneumoniae
Lineage: Bacteria; Pseudomonadati; Pseudomonadota; Gammaproteobacteria; Enterobacterales; Enterobacteriaceae
Description: 16S ribosomal RNA
Rfam family: Bacterial small subunit ribosomal RNA
Source: RNAcentral
UUAGAGUUUGAUCCUGGCUCAGAUUGAACGCUGGCGGCAGGCCUAACACAUGCAAGUCGAGCGGUAGCACAGAGAGCUUGCUCUCGGGUGACGAGCGGCGGACGGGUGAGUAAUGUCUGGGAAACUGCCUGAUGGAGGGGGAUAACUACUGGAAACGGUAGCUAAUACCGCAUAACGUCGCAAGACCAAAGUGGGGGACCUUCGGGCCUCAUGCCAUCAGAUGUGCCCAGAUGGGAUUAGCUGGUAGGUGGGGUAACGGCUCACCUAGGCGACGAUCCCUAGCUGGUCUGAGAGGAUGACCAGCCACACUGGAACUGAGACACGGUCCAGACUCCUACGGGAGGCAGCAGUGGGGAAUAUUGCACAAUGGGCGCAAGCCUGAUGCAGCCAUGCCGCGUGUGUGAAGAAGGCCUUCGGGUUGUAAAGCACUUUCAGCGGGGAGGAAGGCGGUGAGGUUAAUAACCUCAUCGAUUGACGUUACCCGCAGAAGAAGCACCGGCUAACUCCGUGCCAGCAGCCGCGGUAAUACGGAGGGUGCAAGCGUUAAUCGGAAUUACUGGGCGUAAAGCGCACGCAGGCGGUCUGUCAAGUCGGAUGUGAAAUCCCCGGGCUCAACCUGGGAACUGCAUUCGAAACUGGCAGGCUAGAGUCUUGUAGAGGGGGGUAGAAUUCCAGGUGUAGCGGUGAAAUGCGUAGAGAUCUGGAGGAAUACCGGUGGCGAAGGCGGCCCCCUGGACAAAGACUGACGCUCAGGUGCGAAAGCGUGGGGAGCAAACAGGAUUAGAUACCCUGGUAGUCCACGCUGUAAACGAUGUCGAUUUGGAGGUUGUGCCCUUGAGGCGUGGCUUCCGGAGCUAACGCGUUAAAUCGACCGCCUGGGGAGUACGGCCGCAAGGUUAAAACUCAAAUGAAUUGACGGGGGCCCGCACAAGCGGUGGAGCAUGUGGUUUAAUUCGAUGCAACGCGAAGAACCUUACCUGGUCUUGACAUCCACAGAACUUAGCAGAGAUGCUUUGGUGCCUUCGGGAACUGUGAGACAGGUGCUGCAUGGCUGUCGUCAGCUCGUGUUGUGAAAUGUUGGGUUAAGUCCCGCAACGAGCGCAACCCUUAUCCUUUGUUGCCAGCGGUCCGGCCGGGAACUCAAAGGAGACUGCCAGUGAUAAACUGGAGGAAGGUGGGGAUGACGUCAAGUCAUCAUGGCCCUUACGACCAGGGCUACACACGUGCUACAAUGGCAUAUACAAAGAGAAGCGACCUCGCGAGAGCAAGCGGACCUCAUAAAGUAUGUCGUAGUCCGGAUUGGAGUCUGCAACUCGACUCCAUGAAGUCGGAAUCGCUAGUAAUCGUAGAUCAGAAUGCUACGGUGAAUACGUUCCCGGGCCUUGUACACACCGCCCGUCACACCAUGGGAGUGGGUUGCAAAAGAAGUAGGUAGCUUAACCUUCGGGAGGGCGCUUACCACUUUGUGAUUCAUGACUGGGGUGAAGUCGUAACAAGGUAACCG